ACGCUGGCGGCGUGCCUAAUACAUGCAAGUAGAACGUUGAAAGAGGAGCUUGCUUCUCUGGAUGAGUUGCGAACGGGUGAGUAACGCGUAGGUAACCUGCCUGGUAGCGGGGGAUAACUAUUGGAAACGAUAGCUAAUACCGCAUAAGAGUAGAUGUUGCAUGACAUUUGCUUAAAAGGUGCAAUUGCAUCACUACCAGAUGGACCUGCGUUGUAUUAGCUAGUUGGUGGGGUAACGGCUCACCAAGGCGACGAUACAUAGCCGACCUGAGAGGGUGAUCGGCCACACUGGGACUGAGGCACGGCCCAGACUCCUACGGGAGGCAGCAGUAGGGAAUCUUCGGCAAUGGACGGAAGUCUGACCGAGCAACGCCGCGUGAGUGAAGAAGGUUUUCGGAUCGUAAAGCUCUGUUGUAAGAGAAGAACGAGUGUGAGAGUGGAAAGUUCACACUGUGACGGUAUCUUACCAGAAAGGGACGGCUAACUACGUGCCAGCAGCCGCGGUAAUACGUAGGUCCCGAGCGUUGUCCGGAUUUAUUGGGCGUAAAGCGAGCGCAGGCGGUUAGAUAAGUCUGAAGUUAAAGGCUGUGGCUUAACCAUAGUACGCUUUGGAAACUGUUUAACUUGAGUGCAAGAGGGGAGAGUGGAAUUCCAUGUGUAGCGGUGAAAUGCGUAGAUAUAUGGAGGAACACCGGUGGCGAAAGCGGCUCUCUGGCUUGUAACUGACGCUGAGGCUCGAAAGCGUGGGGAGCAAACAGGAUUAGAUACCCUGGUAGUCCACGCCGUAAACGCUGAGUGCUAGGUGUUAGACCCUUUCCGGGGUUUAGUGCCGCAGCUAACGCAUUAAGCACUCCGCCUGGGGAGUACGACCGCAAGGUUGAAACUCAAAGGAAUUGACGGGGGCCC
This 905-nucleotide ribosomal RNA is filed under the name uncultured bacterium. RNAcentral describes it as "bacterial SSU rRNA". It matches the Rfam family "Bacterial small subunit ribosomal RNA", at positions 33 to 922 of the family's 1533-position model. The record is from RNAcentral.